CCUUCCUGUUAGAUGCUAAUAGAAGCUAAACUUGUGUGUCUCUUCUUUUCUUUAUUGCAGUGUCAUGUUGAGAUGACAAAAUUACCACAUUACCCUCAGCCCAUCCAAGGUUGCCAGGCCAAUAUAUCGAUGGUCCGGGGUUGAAGGGUUACAAGUCCCAGGAGGUGUCAACCUCAUUACCCCAGAGUGGAUCAACCCAGCCCAGGGGGCUCUCUGAGUAUUUAGAGGAGCAUGCUGGUCCCACAAGGGUUCUGAUUCAAAUGCCAACAUCUGUCUGGCGACGGCGCCGAGACGGACCAGGACACCUUCAUCAGAGGUAUUCUCCAGCUGACAGAAGCCACAAGGUGGACGAAAUAAUGGAUUUGAACCCGAUGUAGCAGAUGGUUCGUUCGCACACAGCCACCCAAGAAGAGAUCCUGGGAGUUAGAGAGAAAAAGAGACAGCGCUCUCGAAAACAGCUCUGCGGGGAAUUGGAUCAAACGUCUGGCUAUCGGAAGCUAUGUUCAAUUCAAGCACGGCAAACCAUUUCUUGAUGUAGUGGGAGAGAGUCGAAGUGGAAACGGGACAACUGGUUCGUAGAAUCAGCUUAGAGGAUUUUCUGAAGUCCUACAUGAGUAGGACAGUCCAGAAGCUUGAUGUUGGCCCACUUUAUUCUACGUUAGUGUUUUAUAAGACCACCCAAAUUGUGUCAGAUUUUUGUCCCACUAGACAAUUUGAGGCAAAGUGCAAGAAUUUAGGAUUUUUUUAAAUCAUUUUUCAGUUCAUCAGUGACAACGUAACAACUUCAUAUUUAUUGCACCUCUAUCAAUACCUGAUACAACAUUAUCAUGUUUGAACGCUUCACCAUUUCUCCUCCAAAUAUUCUUUUUGCCACAGUCAAAUACAACAAACAACCUCACUUUGAGUGAGUGCAAAGCAGGAGUUUAUAAAGGCAGCAGCACAGGUGAAAGCCAUCAGCAAUCAGCAGUCAGCCGGAGGAGACAAGGCACAGGUGAGAGCAGUGAGCUAAUCAGCAGGUUUGGGAGAGGCUGGGAGCAGCAUCAAUCAUGACAGGAAACAGAUUAUUAUGACAAAAAAGUAAUUCAACAAAAAAAUAUUAGUAAAAUUUGAAAGUUUGAAGAACAUAGAAAAAAAUCUGAAUUCUCCUACUGCUAAACAUCCCGGGAUAAGGUUUAAAAACUAACAUUAUGAAGCUGAAGUGUACGCUAGACAUGUGUUUUGUGGUUACCAAAAGGAGAAAGUUAUGAUUUCACAUGAUUUAACAUGGGAAGUUUCAUGUCAACAUCAAAACCAGAACUCCUUCAUUGUCAUUGCGCA
This is a long non-coding RNA of Poecilia latipinna (sailfin molly), 1317 nucleotides long. RefSeq lists it as uncharacterized. The transcript has 4 exons. NCBI's taxonomy places the organism in Eukaryota, Metazoa, Chordata, Actinopteri, Cyprinodontiformes, Poeciliidae. The record is from RefSeq and is a predicted model, not a curated record.